RNAcentral lists this unclassified non-coding RNA (884 nucleotides) under Hevea brasiliensis (rubber tree). Lineage: Eukaryota; Viridiplantae; Streptophyta; Magnoliopsida; Malpighiales; Euphorbiaceae. The record is from RNAcentral.
CUCUGACUUCCCAAAAUGCACUUCUGUGUGGGUGAAAUGAAGUACAGCGGGAAAUAAUAAGCCCAUGACUGCCAUCAAUAACAAUCCUGAGUUCACGAGGGCAGUUGCCUUACUGAAAACCUGGACUUUCUGCUGAUGAACAAUCCCACCACAGAAGAAGGCACAUCCAAGCACCAAGAGCAUAUUUGAUAAAAUGGAACCCAGCAAGGAUUGUUUAACAACCCUCAUCAUCCCAUUAUUCAAUGCAUAUAAUGAGAUUAUCAUUUCAGUAGCAUUGCCAAAUGUAGCAUUUAGAAGUCCCCCAACUGUAGGCCCUGUAUAGAAUGCAAGCUGCUCAGUCGCAUAACCCAAACGCUCAGCUAAGGGUGUAAUGCCCACCAAACUGAAGAAGAACACCCACUCAUGUUUUUUUGUUAGAUAGUGUAGCAGUAUCGCCAAUGGUCCAAAAGGAAGCAAAACAUUGAUCUUUGCUUUAAGUAUCACAAAGUAUACACUCCUAAAAUAGCUGAUCUGAUGCACCUUCCUCAAGACUCUCGAGGAGUAAAAACUUCUAGGCGACGCCAUAUGAGCUGACUCAAAAUGCAAACUCUCUAUCUUGUUUGUCGCAUGAGAUGAACUAAAGGAGAUCUCCUCAUCAGAUUCAAUGUCUAACUUAUCCCCUACAGAUCCCAUCUCAACACUUGAAAAAAAGAGCCAACUUUAUACAGCUCAAUGAAUCAAAUUUAAAAUGCUCAGACACAUAAGAGGGCCCCAGAGAAAACAAUCAGUGGGCGAAUCGAAUCGUGUACUGAUGUGAACAGCAAAGCUGAGUAGUUUACAUAAAUUAAGAGAAAAAUAUGUAUAGAGAUAGUGUAUAAUAGUAGAGAGAUAAAUACAGAGAAAAA